RNAcentral lists this transfer RNA (73 nucleotides) under Chloroflexota bacterium. RNAcentral describes it as "tRNA-Leu". It matches the Rfam family "tRNA". From Rfam's summary of the family: Transfer RNA (tRNA) molecules are approximately 80 nucleotides in length. Their secondary structure includes four short double-helical elements and three loops (D, anti-codon, and T loops). The record is from RNAcentral. Lineage: Bacteria; Bacillati; Chloroflexota. RNAcentral also lists the same sequence under 1 other name.
GCCGGAGUACCCCAACGGUAGAGGGAGCUGAUUCAAGACCAGCGUAGUGAGGGUUCGAAUCCCUCCUCCGGCA